CUGUUUUGGCUGAGAGCUAGGAGGAGCAAGAGAGUGAAGAAAGUUCAAUCUUCUACCUUGAAUCCAACCUCUUGAGUGCAACCAAGAAAAAUUAAACCGAUUAAUCACUAGUUGGAAGCUUGGAAAGCUUAAGGAACCAAGAAUUUCAAGGAGAGGUGAAGGAUCAUUCUUACAAGGCCUUGUCUUGAGGUAUAAUGGCUGAUCAACCAUUCUUUCUCCAUUAAUCAUGAUUAAGUUGGGUAUUAAUGUUGGUAUUGUGUUUGUGAUGCUUGUUUCAAGUGAUUUUAAUGAUUAGAUGGAUGACUUUUGAGUUAGGAUUUCUUGUGGGUUAGGUGUGGUAUGAUGUAUAUAUAUGGUAUAUGAUCUUGUAAAGGUGAUAGUAGUGGUAGUUUCAAGGUAAAAAUGAGAAUUAUAGCUUGAAAUAACAAAAAUUCCAGAUUUCUGGAAAAUUUAGCUUCAGUUCUGCCUGAUUCUAUUUCAUCAUGUUAGAGGCCAAAUUAGGCUUAGCACAAAACAUGAAAGUUGUAGAGAAUGAUAUUUUAUGGUUGCUUACAAAAUUUCAGCUCAAUCAGAUGAACGUACCCUGUGAAAAGAUGAAAAUACCCUGACUGCCCUAGGAGUAAAAUCAGUGGACAGCUUUGAUAGUACACUAAGUUGGUUGCAUUUGUUCACCUUGAUACGUACUGAACUAGCUUUUAGUCAAAACAUGAAAGUUUUAACUCUAUGUUUUAGCUUUCCAAUGCAACUGAAAACACCUCAAUCGGACUUUGGUAGCCUGAGUUAUUAUUGUUUACAUAUAAUACGGUUAACUAGCCCGAAUGUGGGAUUUUGGUUCUGUAAUCCGGACUUUUGACCCAGAUACACUACAAAAUGGACUGAGUAGUCUUCAUCAAAGUUGUAGCACUCUGUUUUAGCUUCGAAACGGUAUAAAUUUCACCCUACUCCGAUAAGCAUAGCUUCGGUUGUGCUCGUUACGCUAAGUGAUGGCAAAUCUGUCUUUUAAUUUAUGCCUUACAUUUCAUUUCCGAACAUGUACCUAGUUUUAUUUUGUAUUUGUAUGACGUUGAGCCUAUUGAACGGUUAUUGAAAUGAGGUUAUUUUAUGUGUGACUUUGGGACUAUUUAAGGAAAAUAUUGAAGUCAUAAAUGGCUGGAAAAUGGGUAAAAACAAGGGGCAUGCCGCCAAAUUUUCACGAGAAAGAUAAACUAACCUUUGGAGUUCUAGUUCUGUAUCUUGCAAAUUGAACUUGGAUACACUGAAAAAUGGGUUGAGGUAUCUUCAUGGAAGUUGUAACCUUUUGUCUAAGAUUUGAGACACCAUCUAGUACAUUUUGAUUUGAUAACCACAGCUCCAGUUAUGGGCAAAAUCGUGUAACCCGUUUUGUACCAUUUUCAUUUUCACGCACGCGCACGUGCAUUUCUCAACUGUUUUUGCCAUUUUGGACCGUUUAGGUCUACUUUUGUUAUUUUGUUACCAUUCCGGCCGUAUUGGCCAAUUUCGACAUUCUUUUGGUCUUAACGUUAUUUUUGACCGUUUUCGACCGUAUUCGAUCGUUUAAGUUAUAAACUGCUAUUGUAUGGUCGUUUCACUUAUGUGUGUAUAUAAUCUGUCAAUACAGAUUGUGAGGCUUUAGACGGUGACGGUCAAGCUCAGUGAAUUGUAUCGUUUUCGUGCCAAGCUUUAUCAAGUGAGUAAUUGGGUUGUUUAUUAAUGUGUAAUUGUUGAAGUACCUUGUAUAUGUUAAAUGGGUACUUAGGCGAUGGUGUACUUUAUCGCACUCGACGUAAUCUCAUCCUUUGUUUUGAUUUUCUACGUGAGAAUACAUGCCUUAUGUUGAGUAUCACCCUCUUGCUAUGUGCUGAGGAGGGGGAUUACAUGACUUGGGUAUCACCCUCUUACUGUGUGCUGAUGGGGGUGAUUACAUGACUUGAAUUAAACUCCAUUUGCUGUGUGCUGUUUGGGGUAAGUACUUUGUUGAGAGAUACCAUCUAUUGAGAGAUCGGAUAUCUCAGGAUUUGGUUCCACCCCGGUUCCAAGGGUUAGACGAACUAUUCGAGCCAGUUGGGGUUUGGUCGAAGAUAGUUCCAUGCUAAACUUGGGAUUUAGUUCCUUGUUAAAGCUUUGACGAAAGCUAAGUUAUUUUUUUCGCUCGAGCUGCUGUGUGCUGUUGACUGGCCAGCGGGGGUUGAUAAGGUGAACGGGGAAGUUUAAGUGGAGUCUACGGACCAUGAUUACUUUGGUUGACGGAGUGUCAAAAGGUGUUCAAGCUCGAGGAAUUGAACUGGCUUUGGAGCCACCUGUAUCCUACCAUUGUGAUGUUACUUUUUGUCAUUGAUGUGAAAUAUCCUGAUUUACUUGUUUAAUUAUGUGAGCUUACAUUUUUCCCCCUGAUUGCUCACUAAGGAUAUAGUUUACCCCAUUCUAUUUGUUUUCCUUAGCAGGGGGCCGACGCGGGGAUCGCUCGGGAAGGGGUUUAGUGUUUUAAUUAUAGACGAGUUGAACUUGUACUUGUUAUAAGUUGACAAGUAAGAUGUAUAUAGUUGUCGUGAUGGUUGUAGUUAUCAGCUUUUCUAGGGUUUACUUUCUGGUACUCGUGGUAUGCAUGACUUGAUGUACUAGGUUGUGCAACUUUUGAAGAUGUAAUCGUUUAAACGGAAUUUUCUUUUGGCGUCAAUCUAUUUUCUAGUUUUAUGAGUGAGUG
RNAcentral lists this long non-coding RNA (2701 nucleotides) under Coffea arabica (coffee). Its description in RNAcentral is "long non-coding RNA (CARA_LNC007155)". The record is from RNAcentral. Lineage: Eukaryota; Viridiplantae; Streptophyta; Magnoliopsida; Gentianales; Rubiaceae.